RNAcentral lists this long non-coding RNA (540 nucleotides) under Drosophila guanche. The record is from RNAcentral. Lineage: Eukaryota; Metazoa; Arthropoda; Insecta; Diptera; Drosophilidae.
UUAACAUUCUCGAAUGAACUAUGAACUCAACUUUACUCACUUUUAGUUGAAAUGUCUCGCGAUUUCCUGUCAUAUAACAUACCCUUGUGGGGCUCUUCGAGUAGCGGGUAUAAAAAUGAGCACGUGACCAACUUUGUCAACGCUUCAAGCAUAUCCAAUUUAACCCUCAAAUUGCUGUCAUUAUGACAGCUACCAGAACAGAGGCAACAUCAGCUUCAGCAUCAGCAUCAGCAUCAGUAUCGGAAGUAGCAUCGGUGGAGUCGCUGAGUUAUUAGCGAAGCGUGAUUGGCAUAAAUCAAUGCAGCGGGGGCCGAGAAAGCAGAGGUGAGGACAGAGGCGGAGACAACGACAACUGGAGACAACAGAGAAAUGCACCUGGCCGAGAGACACUUGGCGGACUCACUGGCCACUCUGUCGCCCUAAUGGGAUUCGAGCCACUGAAAAAUUUAUGACUGCCAUUCCUUACCACCCACUGCCACUACUCAUCAUCAACCCACUUGUCGAUGUCAUUGUUCCGUUAUGUUGGUUCGCCUGUAAUCC